RNAcentral lists this ribosomal RNA (1671 nucleotides) under Triticum aestivum (bread wheat). RNAcentral describes it as "partial small subunit ribosomal RNA". The record is from RNAcentral. Lineage: Eukaryota; Viridiplantae; Streptophyta; Magnoliopsida; Poales; Poaceae.
AUGGCUCUCCGCCGCGCCAUCGGGUCCCUCGCCGUCCGCUCGCAGGCAUCAUACUGCCUCCGCCGCGCCGCCGCCUCGCCCCCCACCCUCACGCCUCCUCCNNNNNNNNNNNNNNNNNNNNNNNNNNNNNNNNNNNNNNNNNNNNNNNNNNNNNNNNNNNNNNNNNNNNNNGUCAAGAAGGUGGCCAAGCACGACGACGACGACGCCGGGCCCCGGCUCAACAACGACAUCACCGCUCCCUUCCUCCGGCUCGUCACCGACCAAGGGCAUGAUGUUGUCCCCAGGCACGAGGCCCUUCAGAUGGCUGCCAGGAUGGGGCUGGACCUGGUUGAGGUUGACCGGAAAUCGGACCCUCCGGUUUGCAAGAUCAUCGACUUCCACAAGGAGAAGUACAUCAAGGAUGUCAAGGACAAAGAGCGCCUAAAAGCCAAGUCUGCUAUUACUUUGCGUUGUGGAGAUAUCAAAGAAGUGCGGUUUAAGGCGAAAACAGAAAUUAAAGACUUGAAGGUGAAAGCAGAUGCAAUUACCAGGCUGAUGGACCGUGGUUACAGGGUGAAGUGCAUGGCGAUGCCCGCAGGUAACGAAGCCGAAGAUUUAGGCGGACCGCUAUCUCGCUUAUUAGGACUGAUUCAAGAUGUCUGUACCGUGGAAAGCGGGCCGCAUUUGGACUCCAAGCAUGCAUAUGUUAUUGUCAGGCACGUGAAGUUUGCAACCAAGAAAGGUGGAAAGAAAGCAAGCAAGGCCAUGGAAGACGCAAGCAAAGGCAGCCCCCGCACCGCUACCUCCGAAUCGCCACCCGCUGCUACUGAUAGCGGGGACGACACAAGUGAACAUGGUCUGGAAGCUGAGGAUGUUGACAAAGCUCCCGCCUAUACCCCCCGUGAAUCUUCACCGCAAAAGAAAGGGCAAGAUAGAGGGUUUAGAGGCAGCAACCGCGGUAACUUGGACAAGAGCACUGGUGCUGGAGGAAACAGGAUUAACCCUGGUCAGGGUGGACCACAACCAUCGCAAUAUGGACUUGGUUCCAGGAAUGGUAGUCCUGAAAUGGAAAAGCUAAAGCAGGCUAAGGCUAAUGAAGGCAUGACACCCGAGCAGACAAACAGGUAUGCCAGCCGUAGGCAGCAGCCCGGAGGCGUAGACAGCCAAGGCAGACCACCACAGCAGGACCCUAGGAGAGGUGAACAUGAAGGCCGCUAUCAAAGGCCUCCUUUGGAACAGCCGAGCCCACCACCGCCAAGGUUCAACCAAGGAAGACCCCCGCAGCAAGACCUGAGAAGAAACGAGAACAACGAAGACAGGUAUUGCCGUCCCCAGGACAACCAAAGGCCACCUCUGCAACAGCCUGGCCCGCCGCCCCCAAGGUUCAGCCAAGGCAGCAGACCCCCGCAGCAGGACCCGAGGGGAAACGAGAGAGGAGGCCAUGUCCCGCCGUAUAGCAGCCAGCGGCCGCAGUUCCAGCAAUCGAAUCCGAACGCCGAGCCAUCAGCAGGGAACCCUGCUUCGACAGCAGCCAGAAGCGUGGGCGUAUUCAGCAGCCGAAAGCCAGGCACGGCAUCCGAGCCGAAGAAGACGGCGGACGGCGGUCUGUCUGGUGGUGCCGGUAAGCCUGCCGAUACCGGCCCGGCCAAAAGCUUCGGGAUAUUCAGUAAACCUAAAAAGGGAAGCUCAUGA